CCACCGCCUCCAUUUUGUCGGUAGAGGCAGAAGGGGAAGGUCGGUCGGGACGCUGAGGUUGCCUGCAGCUGUGUCGUCGGUGCUCGUGGGCUUCGCUCGUUCCGUGCCUCGUCUCUCCCUGGAAGGGGAGGGGGGCUUCGACGCCGAGCAGGAGCCGCCGCCGCCGUAGUCCCGGGUUCGAAGUCGCCAAGACUUCUCUCAAACUUGUGUGCUGAGGAGACUCAGAUGUUGGCCUCAGCUCCUAGGCUGAACUCAGCAGAUCGGCCCAUGAAAACUUCUGUAUUGAGACAAAGGAAAGGAUCUAUCAGAAAGCAACACCUAUUAUCCUGGGCGUGGCAGCAAGGAAGAGGACAGGUGGUGAAAAUCCUGCAAUCUGAAAAGCAGACUGAAAGGUGACAAAGAAGCUGAAGAUGGGUGGUGGAGAGAGGUAUAACAUUCCAGCCCCUCAGUCUAGAAAUGUUAGUAAGAACCAACAACAGCUUAGUAGACAGAAGACCAAGGAUCAGAAUUCCCAGAUGAAGAUUGUUCAUAAGAAAAAGGAAAGAGGACAUACCUAUAAUUCAUCAGCAGCUGCAUGGCAGGCCAUGCAAAGUGGGGGGAAGAACAAAAAUUUUCCAAAUAAUCAAAACUGGAACUCUAGCUUAUCAAGUCCCACCUUACUUUUUAAGUCUCAAACUAAUCAGAACUAUGCUGGAGCCAAAUUUAGUGAGCCGCCAUCACCAAGUGUUCUUCCUAAACCACCAAGCCACUGGGUUCCUGUUUCCUUUAAUCCUUCUGAUAAAGAAAUAAUGACAUUUCAACUUAAAACCUUACUUAAAGUACAGGUAUAAAAUGAAAGUAUUAAUGUGUUUAAAUUUAGUCAUAUUUAAGGAUAAUUGGCAAUUGUCUCAGACCAAAUUCACUAGGGAAUUUAAUCUGUAAAACUGCUAAUUAACGUAGAAAAUACAAUUAGACUUAACUGUUUUGUGUGUUAUGUGCACUGUGAUGGCAGAAUCAGUGCAACUUAACUAAAUUAUUGAUAAUUGUACUUCAUAUCCAUAUAAGUGUUCUCAACUGAGUAACCAUUCAAGUGAAACCAGUCAAGUUUAGAUUUGGGGAAUGGUAAAGGAAUCAACUUUUUCUAUUGCCUGUUGGGGGAAAAUAGUAAUUUAAGAUUAUCAUUCAUGGAUCAGCGGAUUGACUUGUUGAGAUCUGGUAAAUGUGAUUAUAAGCAUCCAGUUAAGACAUAACAGGGGUUGAAAACUAGUUGAAUAUUUGAAAGUUUAAUGUCCUAGAAACACCUAAACCAGUAAUAUGCCAACAAUCUGAUGCACUGCCAAAA
RNA transcript from Physeter macrocephalus (sperm whale), 1321 nucleotides. RefSeq lists it as uncharacterized. Lineage: Eukaryota; Metazoa; Chordata; Mammalia; Artiodactyla; Physeteridae. The transcript has 3 exons. The record is from RefSeq and is a predicted model, not a curated record.